GGUAGCGUGGCCGAGCGGUCUAAGGCGCUGGUUUAAGGCACCAGUCUCUCCGGAGGCGUGGAAUCGAAUCCCACCGCUGCCA
Molecule: transfer RNA, 82 nt
Filed under: Trichonephila clavipes
Lineage: Eukaryota; Metazoa; Arthropoda; Arachnida; Araneae; Nephilidae
Rfam family: tRNA
About the family: Transfer RNA (tRNA) molecules are approximately 80 nucleotides in length. Their secondary structure includes four short double-helical elements and three loops (D, anti-codon, and T loops).
Source: Rfam by way of RNAcentral